AUUGAACGCUGGCGGCAGGCCUAACACAUGCAAGUCGAGCGGAUGAGAAGAGCUUGCUCUUCGAUUCAGCGGCGGACGGGUGAGUAAUGCCUAGGAAUCUGCCUGGUAGUGGGGGACAACGUUUCGAAAGGAACGCUAAUACCGCAUACGUCCUACGGGAGAAAGCAGGGGACCUUCGGGCCUUGCGCUAUCAGAUGAGCCUAGGUCGGAUUAGCUAGUUGGUGAGGUAAUGGCUCACCAAGGCUACGAUCCGUAACUGGUCUGAGAGGAUGAUCAGUCACACUGGAACUGAGACACGGUCCAGACUCCUACGGGAGGCAGCAGUGGGGAAUAUUGGACAAUGGGCGAAAGCCUGAUCCAGCCAUGCCGCGUGUGUGAAGAAGGGUCUUCGGAUUGUAAAGCACUUUAAGUUGGGAGGAAGGCAGUAAGCUAAUACCUUGCUGUUUUGACGUUACCGACAG
This 461-nucleotide ribosomal RNA is filed under the name uncultured bacterium. RNAcentral's name for it is "bacterial SSU rRNA". It matches the Rfam family "Bacterial small subunit ribosomal RNA", at positions 30 to 484 of the family's 1533-position model. The record is from RNAcentral.